This 254-nucleotide ribosomal RNA is filed under the name uncultured bacterium. Its description in RNAcentral is "partial 16S ribosomal RNA". It matches the Rfam family "Bacterial small subunit ribosomal RNA", at positions 524 to 777 of the family's 1533-position model. The record is from RNAcentral.
UACGAAGGGGGCUAGCGUUGCUCGGAAUCACUGGGCGUAAAGCGCACGUAGGCGGAUUCCUAAGUCGGGGGUGAAAUCCUGGAGCUCAACUCCAGAACUGCCUUCGAUACUGGGAAUCUUGAGUCCGGAAGAGGUGAGUGGAACUGCGAGUGUAGAGGUGAAAUUCGUAGAUAUUCGCAAGAACACCAGUGGCGAAGGCGGCUCACUGGUCCGGUACUGACGCUGAGGUGCGAAAGCGUGGGGAGCAAACAGGG